RNAcentral lists this ribosomal RNA (440 nucleotides) under uncultured bacterium. Its description in RNAcentral is "partial 16S ribosomal RNA". It matches the Rfam family "Bacterial small subunit ribosomal RNA", at positions 338 to 795 of the family's 1533-position model. The record is from RNAcentral.
CCUACGUGUGGCAGCAGUGGGGAAUAUUGGACAAUGGGCGAAAGCCUGAUCCAGCAAUGCCGCGUGAGUGAUGAAGGCCCUAGGGUUGUAAAGCUCCUUUACCCGGGAAGAUAAUGACUGUACCGGGAGAAUAAGCCCCGGCUAACUCCGUGCCAGCAGCCGCGGUAAUACGGAGGGGGCUAGCGUUGUUCGGAAUUACUGGGCGUAAAGCGCACGUAGGCGGCUUUGUAAGUCAGAGGUGAAAGCCUGGAGCUCAACUCCAGAACUGCCGUUGAGACUGCAUCGCUUGAAUCCAGGAGAGGUCAGUGGAAUUCCGAGUGUAGAGGUGAAAUUCGUAGAUAUUCGGAAGAACACCAGUGGCGAAGGCGGCUGACUGGACUGGUAUUGACGCUGAGGUGCGAAAGCGUGGGGAGCAAACAGGAUUAGAUACCCUUGUAGUC